Pseudopipra pipra is the source of this 6719-nucleotide RNA transcript. It is a transcript of the gene named SPT3 homolog, SAGA and STAGA complex component, with no coding region annotated. The transcript is spliced from 17 exons. Lineage: Eukaryota; Metazoa; Chordata; Aves; Passeriformes; Pipridae. The record is from RefSeq and is a predicted model, not a curated record.
GAGGAGAGAGUUGAGAUGAGAAGAGCAGCCCAGAUGAGCAGCACUGUGGCCAGCCCAAUGUCAACAGUUGUCUCCUCAAGCAGUGGAAGAAAAUCGACCAGCUUUACUCCUGAAUUGCAGAGUAUGAUGUUUUCCCUGGGAGAUGCUCGAAGGCCACUCCAUGAAACUGCAGUACUGGUGGAAGACAUUGUCCACACUCAACUGAUAAAUUUGUUGCAGCAAGCAGCUGAAGUUUCUCAGAUGAGAGGAGCUCGAGUCAUCUCUGCUGAAGAUCUUCUGUUCUUAAUGCGCAAAGAUAAGAAGAAGCUUAGAAGGCUACUUAAAUACAUGUUUUUUCGAGACUACAAAUCUAAAAUUGUCAAAGGAAUAGAAGAAGAUGACCUCCUCGAAGACAAAUUCAACAGUAAUAACACCAACAAAAGACAGAAGCUUGCUCAAGACUUUCUCAACUCCAUUGACCAGACUGGAGAGCUCUUAGCCAUUUUUGAAGAUGAUGAGAUUGAUGAUGUCAAGCAAGAGCGAAUGGAGAGAGCAGAAAGACAAACACGAGCCAUGGACUCAGUCCAGUACGCAGAAUUCUGUGAAAGUCGGCAAUUGAGUUUUUCAAAGAAAGCAUCCAAAUUUCGUGACUGGUUGGACUGUAGCAGUAUGGAAAUAAAGCCAAAUGCAGUUGCAAUGGAGAUUUUGGCAUAUUUAGCAUACGAGACUGUGGCCCAGCUGGUGGACUUGGCCCUUUUGGUUAAACAGGACAUGGCUCCCAAGGCUGGUGACCCAUUCAGUCAUGCCAUAUCUGCCACCUUCAUACAGUACCACAAUUCUACUGAGCCACAUCUCUUAGGGCAAUCUACCAGUGUGAAGACCAGUCUUGACUCUCCUGAAAACACACCACCUCCUACACCCACCCCCCCAGCAUCAGCAGGACAGCAACACCUUGGGAAAACCCCAUCAGGAGCCUUGGGGAAUGGUGGAAUUGGACAGGACUCUACCAAAUCCAAACAAAGGAAAAGAAAAAAGAGCACUGCAGCCUGUGGUAUAGAGGCUCAAAGUGAUGCCAUCCAGCCCAGCCACAUCAGAGAGGCCAUUCGACGCUACGGCCACAAGAUUGGCCCCCUUUCCCCAUUCACAAUUUUCUCUCUCCCUGACAGAGUGCCUACCGCAGGAACGGGAUGACUUUUCUCGCCUGCUGAUGUGGAUGUGGCUGCAGCAACAGGAAAGACAGUGUUAUAUUAAGACUGAGGCUGAAGCACAUCUUGUCCCUUGAAACAGCCAUUGGUACCAAGCUGUCACAGUACUGCCUGCAGUCAGACAUAGCAAAACUAAAGUGUCAGAACUUCAUGUUACACACCACUCCACGUGGGAUUUCACAGAACAUGCUGUAGGCCAAGUUUUGAGUGCAGCUGGGCCAGUUCAUGGUUACAGAUGAGCACAGAUGAAACAGAACAAUUUCAACCUGAAACCAGGCAGAACACGUUGGCUUUGGCUGGAUGUGCUGGGAGUUAUGGAGUUUGUAGGAAACCAAAACUCAGAAGGGGAGAAGCCCACACAAACUAAAGCAAAAGCAGGGAUUUGCAGGAGUGCCUGCAAGCUGAACAUGCACAAUUGGGAAGGACUUGACAUCUGGCAAACAGACUGACCUUUGUGUCAAGGAUGAACAUGCACUGAAAGUCUGCAGGGAAACUCACAGAAUCCCAAACUUGCUAAAGUCUCCAACUUUUGCCAAGCUGCAAGGUGCAAGGUGUGAAGCCCAGGUGAGAUUUUGAUGUCACUCACAAUGGAUGUGGGUUUUUUUCUGGGCUGCUUCUGCUGUUGUGGGGUCCAAGAAUGUUCUUCAUCAUAACCAUUAAAAACAAAAGGAAAAUCCUGACUUCUUCAGUCAUUCUCAGGCCUGUAUGUACCUCAUGUUGUCUUUUCUUCAUCCAUCCAGAGUUCAAGAAGUGCUUGGAUAAUGCUGUCAGGCACAUGGUGUGAUUCUUGGUGUUGUCCUAUGCAGGGCCAGGAGUUGGACUUCAGUGUUCCUUUUGGGUCCCUCCCAAUUUAGGAUAUUCUAUGAUUCUAUUUAUUAUUUGCAGUAUUUGUCAUUUCAGAUAACCCACAUCUCACUUCCAGUUCUCACUUUAUUCCUGAAUUACUGGAUUACUAAUCUACAGCUGCUGGCACCCCAUUCUGCUCCUUUUAAGCAAUCUACUAACUCCUGAUAGUCAAGGCUGAUGAUCUAAUUUUAGUCCUGACAGUCCAAUUCAGUUUUCAGUCUUAACACUGAAACUCAGUGGAGCAGAAUCCACUAAUGGGACCCCUGUAUUAGUUAGCAUAGCACUUCCUAAAAUGCUAAAAGCACUGCUUAUAUUAAUUGUCCUGAAGACACUUGAGGUAAAUGGGAUGAAGAACAAGAAAUCAUAUUGAUAAACAACUUACAUGACCUUCUCAUAGAUGGCUUUUUGGCUGGAAAAAAGGAUUUCAUCCUUUUGCCAUGACCAAAAUUGUUGUACUCCAGAGAUACCCUUUGAUAUUCCAAAUCAUGCAACACACUUCCACAUGAAGGUCAAUAUUUAUUUCAACCCUUUCAUGUAAAUCUCUGAGCUGGGCAAAUUGCAAGUGAAGGAAGUAAAAGACUUGCAGGAAUCUGUUGUGAAAAGGCUGAUGAUUACAGCUGAGAUUCCUCCUGUAUGAGAACACCAUCCCUUGGUUGAUGGUGUGGCUGCAUCUUGGAACAUCAAGCACAGUGUUUAUGUAAAUCUGAGUGUUCUUCUGCUUGUUCUGCUACAAAAGCCAUUCUCCCUGGGACACAGAAGGAAAUCCAGUGAGACAAGGUAAUAGAGAUGGAAGACUGCUAAUGGAAAGAUUAGGUCUCUGGGCUGUCAGACUUGUCUCUCUUAAGCACAUGUUUAUGCUUUAAGUUAAAUAAUACAGCAUGUUUAUGCAUGUGAAUAUAUAUAUACUGCAUAUGUAUCUGAAUGUAUGAAUGGUAAGAUGCUGUUCUGUGCAAGAAAGUCACAUCAGACUAGUUUCACAUUUUUAUGUAUUAUAUUACAUUUCAUUACAUUUAUAUUACAAUGUAAAAGGUUUCUGCCUUUCCCCAGAAAACACAAUCUUAACAUUCAUGUGCUCGUGUUCAACAAGCCUGUACACACACAGGAUCUUGGAGAGCAAGUUGGUUUGGAUGUUACCAGAAUUUUCUUGCCCCGCAGAUGGUUUCUGUCUCCUAGCUCUGGAUAAAAUAUGUCCUUGCCAUUGCUUCAGUGCUGGAUUCAAGUCCUGUUGAGGGAAUCAGUGGGUCGGGGUUCCCACUACUCCUUGUCCUUUUGUUCCAUAAAAAAGUUUUAUAUGUUCCUGUCACUGUACUUAAUAAACAAUUUAAAAAAAAAACCCAAACCCAAUCCAUCCAAGUCUAUUCUACUUUACCAAGUCUAAUUUUCUUGCCCUUUGCAGACCUUGAUAUUACUUGAAGCAACCUGUAUUUGGUGCAACAUAACUGCACUUAAGAGAUCAGGUCUCUCCAUUUGUUUCUCUUUGUAGGAGUAAGGAUUUAUUUACUGUUUUGUGGCUGGUAACUCUGGGACAGAAAUACCUUUCUGUGUUUAUUUUCUAUGACAGUCUUUGUAAAGCUCUUUGGAGAUACUUUGUAGUCUUUGAAAAUAAUAGAAAGGGAAGGGAAGGAGUUGAUUUUGCUUCAUCUUCUUCAUUGUCUUCCCACUUCUUUUCUUCCACCUUGAGGGGAAGAGAGCACACUAAAGGAAGAGCUCAUGCCUCCCACUGAAGCCUUUACCUGAAAUGUGCCACAUCUGGUGGGUAUUUGUGGAAGCAAUGCAUGUCAGCAGAGUUUUCACAAUCGUGAGAGGAAAUGGCUGGGUUUAGAUGUGCUGAUUUUAUUGUAUAUUCUUGGAUAAGAUGAUAAAUACUGACAUACGAGGCCAGCAAGUCGAUUUAUUGAUUUCAAUUCUGCUUCUUCCUCUGUUCAGCUCUUCAUGUGUAUUUUUGGAUGAUCAGGGAGAGUUGGAGGAAAAAGAGAAAUUCCUCCUAUGCUUUUGGCAGAAUGGAACUAACUAAAAACCUGCUUGAAAAAUAUACAGAAAAAAUCUAACUCAAUAUCUGCUCUUUAUACUUAGGGAUCCCCAUAGUGGUGGCUGCCAGCUGGGGUCUGUUUUGCUGCUUUCUCCAGCAGUUCAACGCACUUCUCACUCCAGCACUGCCCAUCCUGUCUCCCUUGCAGCAAACCUUAAACUGUGAAUUAUGAUAGGAACUGAUAGGUAAAGGGGCAAUUUUCCGUGACAUUUCUAUUGACUAUAAGUGAAUUAAUCGCAGUCAACCCCGUGCAACAAUGUCAAAGACUAAAAAAAAAGACUACAGGCUUAAUCAGAAAACAAUUUACAGCUGAGUAAUUGCUGCUUUGAUACUACUGUCAUUACUCAUGAUAUUACACUGAGCAGUAUUUUGACUUUCAGAGGUUGCUGGCUGGCAGAGGCAUGUUGGGAUUCAACGUGAGCAGGAUAACCCCACCAGGGAUCUAUCAAUUAGAGCAGAGCAAAGCCCAGGAGUUCUCAAAAACAUCCAAAUUGGCCUGUUCAAGGCCCAGCAGUGUUUUUACGAAGGAAGGUGAAGUUGGGGAGUUCAGAAGAGCCUUGUUUGCCUUUGUAUUUGACAAGACAAGUAACUGGGAUUGUGCUUGGAAGUGGUGAAAGCAAGCUCCACAGGGAUUGUGGGCUUGCUCUUGCUGGAAAUGAAGUUUUUUUGGAAAAGUGAGGGAUGCAAUCAAAGUCAGAGGUUGGGUUUGUUCCACUAAAAUUGGGUUGCAAUCCCUGCUCGCUUGAGGAACUUUAUUGAUGUGAGUAGUCCCAUUGAGAGUACGAGUAUUUAUGUAGCUGAGAGAAACUAAUGAAAUGAAGUCAAGUGAAAAAGGGAUUGUUCACAUGCCCAAGAAUUGUAUGACAAGGGCCCUAAUCCAACCAUUGUGGUUUAGGGAUUUGCAAAAUUACUUAUUUUUGCUAUUGAGUCUAUGUCAGUUUUGCUAACUUUUCACACAUUCCAGGCUCUCUCCUGAAAUCUACCUUAUUUGCUCUGAAUUUCUUCUUCCAGGACAGACAUAGCAACAUACUGACCUAAUUCUUCAUGUUGUGCAGCUGUGUACUCACUGUUUUAAGAGAUAAAUGGAUAACAGUCUCUCCAUUCUCCAGUGUAAAUUGACCAAAGCCUCUUCAUGUCAAUGAAGCGACAUAUGAAGUUGUGAAAGCUGAGAGCCUGGGGCUAAAUGUUAACUGCAAAAAGACAAGGCAGCUAUUGCAUUGGACUUUCAAAAAUUAUUGUGACCAUACAGCAUUUUCAGGUAGAAAUGGUGAUCUAGUUGAAAAAAAGAACUAUGUCUGAGGUGAGAGGACUUUGUUGAUGUUCUCUGGGGUAUCACAAUACAGAUCUUGCGCUGCCCAGGGUCAUCAGUUGUUCAAAAUGAUUUUACUCAGCAGGGAUGUUUUCUGCCUUUUCAGAUAUUAAUUUUUUUUUAUUUUAUCAGGGUUAUAUUUUUGAAGGUGUCUGUACUCUCGUUGGCUGCUGGACAGCUGUAUCACAAGGAUUUCCCUCUGGUAUAGAACACAAAGCUCUUCUGUACCAGUGUGGAAUGCAGUAGCAAAUCACUGUACAGUGGCCCAUAAGGAUACCAGCUACCCUUAUAAACUUUUUAUAACUUAGGAAAAUAAACAUGUGGUUUCAGGGCUCUGCAUAGUCAGUACUAGCUGACUUGGAGCUUGCUUUACAAAGCUAAAAAAGAAAAUAUUGGUAGAGCUAAUAAAUUUCCGAGGGAAUCAGCAAAUAGUGUUCUGAAAGGUCUGAAACAUUUGAUGGUUUAUGGAUAACUUUGUAUUUUAUCUCUUGAAGCAUCAUCCAAGUUGAGCACUAAAGUGCAGUGUUCUCCAUAGUGAGUGCUGUUAUCUGGGAGCUCCCGUGGGACACCAGCCUCACAUCAAGUUAUCCAUGGAAAGACCUGCUAAUCCAGAGGAUGUGAUGUGCUCUCUGCAAGGCCAGCAGACGUGUCUCUCUCAGGGAGAAAAUAACUGGUUGUAGCAGCAGCAAGAAAGCAACCAGAUCUAUGCAGCUGCAUGAAAGGGUAAACUGUACUCUGGCUUUUGGGAGGCUUUCCUGGUGACACUUUCACUCCUUACCUCAGGUGAACAUUGCAGUGUGUCCUGCCAUGACCUACUGUCUGAAUUGUGGUCACAUCCAAGGAGAGGAGCAAGAGGCUAGACAGUCGGAACUCUCCCACACAACUUCCCUGGCACAGACCAGCAUCACCACUGAGCAUCUCCCUCCUCUGCUGCUGGUCCUGUCACACAGCUGGGCUUCAAAAGAGGAUGCUCCUCUCCCAUGUGCUUCAAAGAGAAACCAGGAGCCACAGAACAAUUACUCCCACUCACAAGACGAGGGGAAAUCCUCUUCUAACAAGGGAUCAUCCUGUUACAACGAGGAUGUCUGGUGAUUUAUGACUUGCUGCUUUAAACUCUCCUUCCCCUAUGAAGAAACACAGGAGACAGCAAAGCUGGAGGGAGAUACAAGAGAGAACUGACACUGGCAAUACUUGAAAUAUAGUGGGAGAGCUGGGAAAACCCUUUCUUUCUGUCCUCAUUAGCAUGACUUAAUUAAUACUUACAAUCUUAUCAAACAGAAGUUACCAUGCAGGAGGGAUGUGCAGGCUGGAAAUCAAAGCUUUAAUAAAUAGAUAUUUUAAGACCAAAAAA